Long non-coding RNA from Oncorhynchus tshawytscha (Chinook salmon), 963 nucleotides. Lineage: Eukaryota; Metazoa; Chordata; Actinopteri; Salmoniformes; Salmonidae. The record is from Ensembl.
AAAGUAGGGCUAUGGGAUAGAGUCAGAAGGGUCAGUAUGUUUGAUAGCUGGUUACAGAGGUGACAUAACAAGCAUAAGGUCCAUUAUAACACAGUGAAGUAGGGCUAUGGGAUAGAGUCAGAAAGGUCAGUAUGUUUGAUACCUGGUUACAGAGGUGACAUAACAAGCAUAAGGUCCAUUAUAACACAGUGAAGUAGGGCUAUGGGAUAGAGUCAGAAAGGUCAGUAUGUUUGAUAGCUGGUUACAGAGGUGACAUAACAAGCAUAAGGUCCAUUAUAACACAGUGAAGUAGGGCUAUGGGAUAGAGUCAGAAAGGUCAUUAUGUUUGUUAACUGGUUACAGAGGUGACAUAACAAGCAUAAGAUCCAUUAUAACACAGUGAAGUAGAGGUGGGAGCUAAAAGCAGACAUGGACAGUGAGAUGGUGUGAGGAGGUCAGGGGUGAAACACUAGAUCAGGACAUGUAGAAAUGGCAGGGCUGGAAAUAGAGACAGCGACACAUUCUGAUUAUGGCUCAGACCUGACCUGAGACACCCAAACAGAAGAUGCCAAAGCAAAGUCCUGACCUGAGACACCCAAACAGAAGAUGCCAAAGCAAAGUCCUGACCUGAGACACCCAAACAGAAGAUGCCAAAGCAAAGUCCUGACCUGAGACACCCAAACAGAAGAUGCCAAAGCAAAGUCCUGUCCAGUAGCCUAUAUGGAAUUUCCUUUCAUCAAAAUCCAGAACAUUGACAUGAGGCAUCUGUCAAUAAAAAGUGGCUUUAUAUCUUUAGUGAAAGGAUGGAAUGUGUUACUACCAUUUAGUGAAAGGAUGGAAUGACUUAGUGUUAAUACCAUUUAGUGAAAGGAUGGAAUGACUUAGUGUUACUACCAUUUAGUGAAAGGAUGGAAUGACUUAGUGUUACUACCAUUUAGUGAAAGAUGGAAUGACGUAGUGUUACUACCAUUUAGUGAAAAGAUG